AGAAGCUCCUAUACUCAGGACCUUCCCAGACUUCCCCCAAGUGUCUCUUCAUCUGGUUGUUCAUCUGUAUCCUUUAUCAUAUCCUGUCAUAAACUGGUCAAGCCCCCCAGCAUGUGACUGUAUGUUUCAGUUGUGGGUCCUUCUAGUUGUGGCAUGUGGGACGCCGCCUCAGUAUGGCCUGAUGAGAAGCGCCAGUUCUGCGCCCAGGAUCCGAACCAGCAAAACCCUGGGCCACUGAAGCAGAUCAUGUGAACUUAACCACUCGGCCACGGGGCCGGCCCCAAGAAAUAACUUUUGAAAAUUUAAAACAUGCUUGCCAUAAUAAAACUUGCAAUAGAUGGUUUGGAAAAUAAACUUGGUGAAAUCUCCAGAAUGUGGAACAAAACGUCAAAAAGAAAAAUAUAUGAGAGGAAAGAGGCUACUUAAAGAAAUAAUUCAAGAAGUUCAACAUCCAAACAGUUGGCAUUCUGGAAAGAGGAAAGAGAAAAACAAAGGCAAAGGAGUUAUCAAAGAAAGAAUCAAAGAGAAUUUCCCAAGGGCAUGGGCUGGCCAUGUGGAGGCCCUACUGUAUGUCAUGUACCACGUGAUACCGGGGCUGUAAGAGACACAGUCCUGCCACAUGGUGCUGAGAGUCUUGGGAGACAGAGAGACAGAAACCAAGCAGUUGCACAAAUUAAUGUAAAAUUGCAACGAGAAUACACAUCACAAAGAAGGCUAUGGAAACUUAGGCCAGAGAAGGGUCUCUGAGACAGGGACAUCUGAGGCCAGAAGUAAUCAGGCAGGAGAGGGAGGGAGGAAUGUUUGGGGCAAGCGGAACAGCAUCUGCAAAGACAGUGUGGCCAGAGGGAGCAUGAUGAGCUUGAGGAGCUGAAAGAAGGCCUGUGAGCCUGGACUACCAAGAAGCUUCCUAGGUGUUGUGGUGGGUAAGGGGUUGGGCAGACCACACGGGGCUCUGAGGGCCCAAGAGCAGUAAGAAGCCAGGUCUUAGAAACCAAAGCAGGUCCCUAGGGAGAAAGGAAAUGCUUUCUAUUCCUUCUGGACACCAGGACCAAGAAACAAAGCACAAGUUAAACCCUCAGCAGCUACCUCUCCACUCUGGUACUUGGUGGGACAUCCAGGUCCCCUGGAAGAAGCGAAAUCCGGCCUGGCCCUGCAAACCACAAGGGGGUGCUGUGAGGCUCAAACCAGAGAAAGGCUAGCAACCUAUCCCUUAGACAAAAUCACAGGUACCCUUGUCCUAAAAGCUGGGAUGGAGGACUGGUGACUGAUGGGGUGAGCUGGAGGAGAGGUGCUCAGACUGGUGGAUGCACAUUUAGGCAGUUUCUACUUUCCAUGCAUGAGUGCCACUGCAAUGCAUACAUAUUUAUGCAUUCAUUUUGCACAUCUGAUUAUUUCUUUAGGAUCAAUUUCUAGAAAUGGAAUUUCUGGUGCAAACGGAAAGUUUUUAGGGCUUUCACCCUACAGCACAGUGGAACCAAUUUACAGCCCCAGCAGCAGAAUAACCUCCAGGUGAUUCACGUGCACAGCUAAAGUUUGAGAACUGCUUGAAAGGAGCCAGG
This 1559-nucleotide long non-coding RNA is filed under the name Equus caballus (horse). Its description in RNAcentral is "lncRNA (ENSECAG00000051956.1)". The record is from RNAcentral. Lineage: Eukaryota; Metazoa; Chordata; Mammalia; Perissodactyla; Equidae.